CAGCAGCCGCGGUAAUACGUAGGUGGCGAGCGUUGUCCGGAAUUAUUGGGCGUAAAGGGAGCGCAGGCGGACAUAUAAGUCCAUCUUAAAAGUGCGGGGCUCAACCCCGUGAGGGGAUGGAAACUGUAUGCCUUGAGUGUAGGAGAGGAAAGCGGAAUUCCCAGUGUAGCGGUGAAAUGCGUAGAUAUUAGGAAGAACACCAGUGGCGAAGGCGACUUUCUGGACGAAAACUGACGCUGAGGCGCGAAAGCCAGGGGAGCGGACGGGAUUAGAUACCCGAGUAGUCCCUGUCUCUUAUACA
RNAcentral lists this ribosomal RNA (301 nucleotides) under uncultured bacterium. Its description in RNAcentral is "partial 16S ribosomal RNA". It matches the Rfam family "Bacterial small subunit ribosomal RNA", at positions 509 to 809 of the family's 1533-position model. The record is from RNAcentral.